Molecule: long non-coding RNA, 258 nt
Filed under: Elaeis guineensis (African oil palm)
Lineage: Eukaryota; Viridiplantae; Streptophyta; Magnoliopsida; Arecales; Arecaceae
Description: long non-coding RNA (EGUI_LNC059794)
Source: RNAcentral
UGUUCCAUAAAAAUUUUAUUAAUUUUUGGCAUUAAAACAUAGGAUUUCUGAUUUAUCUUCUAAGGCAAUGCAUUUAAUAAAGAGCCUUCUUUAAGAAGGACUCUUUAUUUCUCUUGCUGAUUUGAGGUGGGCAAAAAUUAUAUUUUUGUGUGGCUUUUGGUGAACUUGGAGGAGUCCUUCUCUACUUAAAAUUGAUCUAAGUUGGAUAAGGAUCCAAUCCAAAUUAACCCAAUCCCAUUAGGUCAAAGCCAACUGGUC